This 104-nucleotide transfer RNA is filed under the name Ruminococcus difficilis. RNAcentral describes it as "tRNA-OTHER". The record is from RNAcentral. RNAcentral also lists the same sequence under 1 other name. Lineage: Bacteria; Bacillati; Bacillota; Clostridia; Eubacteriales; Oscillospiraceae.
AGGGGCAAAAACGGCUCAAAAUCGGCAUAUCCAUGCGCUUUUCAGGCUCUCUACAUUGCCUCCAAAACCGCGUGCCGAGGGUUCAAGUCCUUCUGCCCCUGCCA